AAAAAGAACCUGAAACCGUGUACGUACAAGCAGUGGGAGCACCCUGUGUGACUGCGUACCUUUUGUAUAAUGGGUCAGCGACUUAUAUUCUGUAGCAAGGUUAACCGUAUAGGGGAGCCGCAGGGAAACCGAGUCUUAACCGGGCGUUAAGUUGCAGGGUAUAGACCCGAAACCCGGUGAUCUAGCCAUGGGCAGGUUGAAGGUUGGGUAACACUAACUGGAGGACCGAACCGACUAAUGUUGAAAAA
RNAcentral lists this ribosomal RNA (248 nucleotides) under Salmonella enterica subsp. enterica serovar Derby. Its description in RNAcentral is "partial 23S ribosomal RNA". It matches the Rfam family "Bacterial large subunit ribosomal RNA", at positions 541 to 796 of the family's 2925-position model. Lineage: Bacteria; Pseudomonadati; Pseudomonadota; Gammaproteobacteria; Enterobacterales; Enterobacteriaceae. The record is from RNAcentral.